UAACAUCGCUGAGAUGUGUGCCAUCUAC
RNAcentral lists this small RNA (28 nucleotides) under Bombyx mori (domestic silkworm). RNAcentral describes it as "piRNA piR-bmo-1934889". Lineage: Eukaryota; Metazoa; Arthropoda; Insecta; Lepidoptera; Bombycidae. The record is from RNAcentral.